Molecule: long non-coding RNA, 1675 nt
Organism: Anser cygnoides (Swan goose)
Lineage: Eukaryota; Metazoa; Chordata; Aves; Anseriformes; Anatidae
Source: Ensembl
AUGUAUUUCAAACAAAAAGGUGGUGAUAUAAUCUCGUUCAGCUGCAAGCAAGACAUCCUGCGUGGCUCUGGCUGCUCCGACCCUGGCGGUGCUCCUGCUCCGCAGCCCCUUCCCGCUGCCAGCCGCCGUGAGCUGCUGUUUGCUUUAAUUACGCUCCCGUUCGCUCGCGCUGCAUACAUUUCUUUUACAAGAUGCAGGAGCAGAGAGCCUGGACACGCAUCCCCCCACACUUCAGCACGCUGUUUAAAGCUUAUGCCAGACUCAUUAAACGUUUCCUCUGCCUCUCUCUGCAGCACGAUGAUCCUGUCCAGCCCCGCUGCCCACACGCGCCCCCAGCCCCACGCCCACGGGGCUGAGGCUGCCUGGGCAGGCGCUGACAGCCGCCGAGGUGCGGGGCUGCCGGGGCUGUCGCGGGUGUGCUGUGGCCCCAGCAGGCUCAGCACCCGUGCACGGACCUGCUGGGGGUCUCCUUGGGCAUGCACAAUGAAAGUUUCUACUGCUUCCCUUGGGUAUCUCAUACAUCAUUCUGCCAGGAAAAGAGAAAAUCAGGAAUACUGUGUCUAUGCUCAGGUCCAACUCUUUAUACCUCCUUUUGAGAAUCUGUGUGGCCGGCUGCCCGUACGCCUGUCCCAGCUCCUCCUGCCGUUGUGUGGUGGAGCUGGAGGGCGGCCGUGAGCCCAUCCGAUAGCGCGGGGUCCGACGGCUCUUGCGUUCCUCAGGUGCCCUUUGUGCCUUGGAGGAGCCCAGCCUGGCGCUCGGCAUCUGGCUCUGCUCCAGUCACCGACAGAAUGGCUGUGUGCAUGGCCUGAAGUGAUACCACUGCUGGAAACAAUCUUUGCUUUCAUCCUUCAUUGCAGACUCAUCCCAGUUUUUGUCUGAAAUCUUUUUUUGCCUCUUCCAUCCUAACUGUAUCCAGAUUUUCCUGUUUCCUCCCUCAUGUCUCAGCUGUAUCAGCUGCACUGGUCCCAGCCGCGUUUCUCUUGGUCAUAUUCUGCAUUUUCCUGAUUCUUCCAAGUCCUGCUUCUUGUGCUGGUGGUGGUAUUUGUGAUUUAUCCCAGCUGAGUCUCGUCUGUAAACUUUAUUGAUAGGGUGUUUAUUCUCUCUUUCAAAGUACUAGUGGUACUUAUAAGCCAUACUUGCCCUAGCGCCUGCCGCCCACCCUCUCCCUCCCCAGGAUGCCCGUGCUGCUGCUCCAGGGGCUCCCGGAGCUGCUGCAGGCCCGGGGCUCGGCCCGAGCUGUGCCCUGGUGCUCCUUGGAGCCUGAGGUGCGGCGCAGCUCGGCUGGGCAGCGGGGGAAGCCUCACGGCCCCUCCAGGGCUCCUGCAUCUGGAAACGCAAUUGCUGCCUCCUGACUCGCAGCCUUGCUUUUGAGCACUGCGCUCUAAUUCUGGCCUCAUACUCCCCUGAGCAGCGCGUCCCUGACUUCCCCUUCUUCCUUCAGGGCUGUCACGGUGUAAUUGAUGAUUUUAGGGAGUAGUUGACUCCGACUGCUUGGUUUUGCUCUGUAAGUUCAUUCCCAUGAUCUGGACCCAUGGCGACUCGCGUCUCGCUGUCAGGGCACUGCAGGAAUGUCCCUGACGUGACGUGAUGCUUGCCCACGCAGACCAGUGACAUCCUGCAGAGCGCCCGGUGCUGUGCCAUGCCGUGCCACGCUGCUCCGCAUGGCGCUGCCGUG